RNAcentral lists this ribosomal RNA (280 nucleotides) under uncultured bacterium. RNAcentral describes it as "partial 16S ribosomal RNA". It matches the Rfam family "Bacterial small subunit ribosomal RNA", at positions 338 to 610 of the family's 1533-position model. The record is from RNAcentral.
CCUACGGGUGGCAGCAGUCGAGGAUUUUUCUCAAUGGGGGCAACCCUGAAGGAGCGACGCCGCGUGGAGGAUGAAGGGCUUCGGCUUGUAAACUCCUGUCACCGACGAACAAAGCGUCCGGGCGAACAUCCCGGACGAUUGAUGGUAGUCGGAGAGGAAGGGGCGGCUAACUCUGUGCCAGCAGCCGCGGUGAUACAGAGGCCCCAAGCGUUGUUCGGAUUUACUGGGCGUAAAGGGUGUGUAGGGGGUCGGGUCAGUCCGAUGUGAAAUCCCGCUGCUU